AAAGGGAGAUGACGAUUAAGCUCUUCUGUAAUGAAAGACAAAUUAUAUCAUGGAAGAAGAAAUGAGCUAUCCCGUGGAGUUACAAAAUGAUAAUUGAAAUCUAGAGGUGAGAAGUUUGGAGCUUAAGUGGAAUGCAGUGGUGGAGUGAAGAUUUAUACUGUACCUGAUUCUUUUACUGGCAAGCAUGAUCAUAGAGUUCCUGGAAGCAUUGCCCUGGAGUUUUAUCUCCACACACAGACAGUGAAAUGAUCAACAGGAGACCUAAACAAACACAUCUUCCAGACUGUAUUAAAAGUUACAGAUUUCUC
This is a long non-coding RNA of Gigantopelta aegis, 308 nucleotides long. RefSeq lists it as uncharacterized. Lineage: Eukaryota; Metazoa; Mollusca; Gastropoda; Neomphalida; Peltospiridae. The transcript is spliced from 3 exons. The record is from RefSeq and is a predicted model, not a curated record.